RNAcentral lists this long non-coding RNA (264 nucleotides) under Pan troglodytes (chimpanzee). Its description in RNAcentral is "long non-coding RNA NONPTRT002628". The record is from RNAcentral. Lineage: Eukaryota; Metazoa; Chordata; Mammalia; Primates; Hominidae.
CUCUGCCUCCCAGGUUCAAGCAAUUAUCGUGCCUCAGCCUCCUGAGUAGCUGGGACUGCAGUUGCCCACCAAUGUACCAACUAAUUUUUGUAUUUUUAGCAGAGACAGGUUUUGCCAUGUUGGCCAGGCUACUCUUGAACUGCUAGGCUCAAGUGAUCCUCCCUCCUCUCCCUCCCAAAGUGCUGGGAUUACAGGUGCGAGCCACCGCGCCUGGCCCUAACAAAAAAAUUUUAAUUGCCAAAUACGUGUAUCAUAACAUUUACC